Molecule: ribosomal RNA, 498 nt
Filed under: uncultured bacterium
Lineage: Bacteria
Description: partial 16S ribosomal RNA
Rfam family: Bacterial small subunit ribosomal RNA
Source: RNAcentral
AUUGAACGCUGGCGGCAUGCCUUACACAUGCAAGUCGAACGGUAACAUGUCUUCGGAUGCUGACGAGUGGCGAACGGGUGAGUAAUACAUCGGAACGUGCCUAGUAGUGGGGGAUAACUACUCGAAAGAGUGGCUAAUACCGCAUGAGAUCUACGGAUGAAAGCAGGGGAUCGCAAGACCUUGUGCUACUAAAGCGGCCGAUGGCAGAUUAGGUAGUUGGUGGGAUAAAAGCUUACCAAGCCGACGAUCUGUAGCUGGUCUGAGAGGACGAUCAGCCACACUGGGACAGAGACACGGCCCAGACUCCUACGGGAGGCAGCAGUGGGGAAUUUUGGACAAUGGGCGAAAGCCUGAUCCAGCAAUGCCGCGUGCAGGAUGAAGGCCUUCGGGUUGUAAACUGCUUUUGUACGGAACGAAAAGCCCCGGGUUAAUACCCUGGGGUCAUGACGGUACCGUAAGAAUAAGCACCGGCUAACUACGUGCCAGCAGCCGCGGUAA